Molecule: ribosomal RNA, 266 nt
Filed under: Xanthomonas citri pv. citri
Lineage: Bacteria; Pseudomonadati; Pseudomonadota; Gammaproteobacteria; Lysobacterales; Lysobacteraceae
Description: partial 16S ribosomal RNA
Rfam family: Bacterial small subunit ribosomal RNA
Source: RNAcentral
ACUUCGGGAAACCGGAGCUAAUACCGGAUAAUAUUUUGAACCGCAUGGUUCAAAAGUGAAAGACGGUCUUGCUGUCACUUAUAGAUGGAUCCGCGCUGCAUUAGCUAGUUGGUAAGGUAACGGCUUACCAAGGCAACGAUGCAUAGCCGACCUGAGAGGGUGAUCGGCCACACUGGAACUGAGACACGGUCCAGACUCCUACGGGAGGCAGCAGUAGGGAAUCUUCCGCAAUGGGCGAAAGCCUGACGGAGCAACGCCGCGUGAGU